CCAGAAGCUUGGAAAUAGAUGCCAGGAAUUACAGAGCCCCAAAGAAGUGCCACAGCCUUGGCAUGGGGAGCUCCUAGGUCUGGACUCUCUGAAGGGCCACAGUUCUUCACUCUCUCUCUCUUUUCUCCUUCUCAUCAUUUGCAAUGGGUAAAUGGGGUCGUGUUUCAAACCUGUUUGUGUUACAGCUGUUUCAGUCCUGCCACUUGGUGGAUCCCAAGUUCUUGUCCUGCACCCAGGAAGAAUGAGGUAUGUGGAUUACUGGAAGGUUAGCAAGGUUGAGAGGAGCUUCACCAAGCAACAUAACAGCCCUGAGAAGAUCUGCAGUGGCAUGCUCCUUUCUGGAGCACCUCGAUGCCCAUGUGAGGGCUCUCCACGGCCUUGCACUCGUCACAGUGUUGCUGGUCCCCCAGGACACACAUGGAGAACGUGGAGCGGGGAGUGGACUUCAGCCUGACGGUGUUUGAGACGCGUUUGUCCUCUGGGGCUCAGAGUUCUUCAAGCUGAUCUGCAACUCCGCCGUCUCCAGGAACUCCCGGCGCUUGCCCUGGCUCCCUUGCAGGACUUCCUGCGCUGCCUCGUACAGGGUGUGGCGAGAGACUUUGCUGCUUAUGGCUUCUCGCGGCGCCCUUACCAGAAAAGAGACACAUCUCAUUUUUUUAUACCUCUUACUCGCUCGCUCUUCCUGCUAUAGGAAGGCAUUUCUUUCCUAUUUCAUAGAUAAGAUUAAGGAAUAUCUAACGGAAAUAAUUAUACUGCUCGUUAAAAUUUAGUUAAUUCAUUUCUUGGGACUAUCACUAUCUGUUCACGCGAACAUAUAAGAUUAUUACUUUUCUUUUGUCUGGAAUUACCUGUGCCACAUUGAUGAAAUAUUUUCUUAAUUGUUUUUAAGAAUUUCUACCUUACAGAGAGAAUGAAUCAGUUUAGUUUAUUAAUCACUACUGAAAUACAAACAUACUUAUGUGAGCUUAUUUAUGCCUACUACAGCAUAACUAUUUCACUAGGUUAAAUAGUAUUGGGGAAAUUUUUUGUAGCAAGGACUAAGAAGAAAAGGACAGCUUCUUUCUUUUUUUUUUUUUUUGAGACGGAGUUUCACUCUUGUUACCCAGGCUGGAGUGCAAUGGCGCGAUCUCGGCUCACGGCAACCUCUGCCUCCUGGGUUCAGGCAAUUCUCCUGCCUCAGCCUCCUGAGUAGCUGGGAUUACAGACACGCGUCACCAUGCCCAGCUAAUUUUUUGUAUAUUUUUUAGUAGAGACGGGGUUUCACCAUGUUGACCAGGAUGGUCUGGAUCUCUUGACCUCGUGAUCCACCCGCCUCUGCCUCCCAAAGUGCUGGGAUUACAGGCUUGAGCCACCGCGCCCGGCCUAAAAGGACAGUUUCAAAUAACAUAUGAGGUACUUAAACACCUUUGAAGAUGCUGCUGGUGAAAUUUGUUGUAGUUGAAAGGAAAAUUUUGAUUCCUAAAUAGGUAAUAUUAAAUAUGAGGCCUUUUCCUCUCACAUACUUUUCUUAAUGUUGCUGCUUUAAAAAAAAUUGACAAAUAAAAAUUGCAUAUAUUUAUCAUGUACAACACGAUGCUUUGGAAUAUAUGUACAUUGUAGAAUGGCUCAAUCCAGCUAAUUAUAUAUGCAUUACUUACCUUUUGUGGUGAGAACACUUAAAAUCUACUGUCUUAGUGAUUUUCAAAAUAGAAUACAUUGUUAUUUACUGUAGUCACUAUUUUGUAUAAUAGAUAACUUUACCUUAUUUCUGUCUAAUUGACAUUUUUUAUCUUUUGACCAACAACUUCCCAAUUUCCAUCUUCCAGCUUUUGGUAACCACCAUUGUAGUACCUGUUUCUAUGAGUUCAAUGUUUUUAGAUUCCGUAUAUGAAGAGAUCAUAUAUUUUUGUUUUUUGUACUUGGCUUACUCACCUACAGGGUUUCCUUCUUUUUGACUGCUGAGUGACGUUCUCUUGUGUGUGCGUACAACAUUUUCUUUGUCCACUCAUCUGUUGAUGGACACUAAGGUUGAUUCUAUGUCUUCUAUAUCUCAGCUACUGUGAAUAAUGCUGCAAUAAACAUGAGAGUGCAGAUAUUCUAACAUACUAAAAGUCUGAUUUCAUUUCUUUUUAAUAUAUGCUGAGAAAUGGAAUUACUGGAUUAUAUGGCAACUGUAUUUUUAAUUUUUUGAGGAAUGUUCAUGUUGUUUUUCUUAAUGGCUG
Callithrix jacchus (white-tufted-ear marmoset) is the source of this 2201-nucleotide long non-coding RNA. Lineage: Eukaryota; Metazoa; Chordata; Mammalia; Primates; Cebidae. The record is from Ensembl.